AGUCACUUUGUCUUUAUGGCAAAUGUGAGAUGCAGUGUAUGGAACAUCUUAAAUCUAGUAUGAGAAAUUAACGAUUUAAGUCCUUCUUAAAUGAGGCCAUUUACCCAUAGAGGGUGCCAGGCCCGUAUAACGUUAAUGAUUACUAGAAGAUGUUUCCAAAGAGUCGUGUUGCUUGAUAGUGCAGCACUAAGUGGGUGGUAAACUCCAUCUAAAACUAAAUAUAACCAUGAGACCGAUAGUAAACAAGUACCGUGAGGGAAAGUUGAAAAGAACUCUGAAUAGAGAGUUAAAUAGUACGUGAAACUGCUUAGAGGUUAAGCCCGAUGAACCUGAAUAUCCAUUAUGGAAAAUUCAUCAUUAUGAUUGUAAUAUUUAAACAAUAUUAUAAUAAUAGUGUGCAUUUUUUCCAUAUAAGGACAUUGUAAUCUAUUAACAUUGGUAUUUAUCAAAAGAUCAAAAGCUUAUGUUUAUUCCAAUUAGUUUGCUUGCAAGCUAACACAGAAUAAAUGCUUAUGAUUUGAUAAAGUGUUGAUAGAUUUUAUUAUAUAUAGUGCUUAAAUUCUUUGAAUUUUAUAAUGCCAUUGAGAUCAUUGAUUUCAGUGUUUAUUAUAUGCGCUUAUAUGAUUAACAAUGCG
This 635-nucleotide ribosomal RNA is filed under the name Archiborborus annulatus. RNAcentral describes it as "eukaryotic LSU rRNA". It matches the Rfam family "Eukaryotic large subunit ribosomal RNA", at positions 117 to 626 of the family's 3401-position model. The record is from RNAcentral. Lineage: Eukaryota; Metazoa; Arthropoda; Insecta; Diptera; Sphaeroceridae.